UACCUGGUUGAUCCUGCCAGUAGUCAUAUGCUUGUCUCAAAGACUAAGCCAUGCAUGUCUAAGUAUAAGUAUUAUACAGCGAAACUGCGAAUGGCUCAUUAAAACAGUUAUAGUUUAUUUGAUAAUCGAAACCUACAUGGAUACCCGUGGUAAUUCUAGAGCUAAUACAUGCUGGUGUGCCCGACUUUUGCGGAAGGGCGGUAUUUAUUAGAUAACAAGCCAAUAUUCCUCUGGUCUAUUGUGGUGACUCAUAAUAACUGAUCGAAUCGCAAGGCCUAUGGCCGCGAUAAAUCAUUCAAGUUUCUGCCCCAUCAGCUUUCGAUGGUAGUGUAUUGGACUACCAUGGCGUUUACGGGUAACGGAGGAUUAGGGUUCGAUUCCGGAGAGGGAGCCUGAGAAACGGCUACCACAUCUAAGGAAGGCAGCAGGCGCGUAAAUUACCCAAUCCUGAUUCAGGGAGGUAGUGACAAGAAAUAACGGACCGAGGCCCUCGGGCUUCGGGAUUGCAAUGAGCCGAAUUUACACCCCUUAGCGAGGAUCAAUUGGAGGGCAAGUCUGGUGCCAGCAGCCGCGGUAAUUCCAGCUCCAAUAGC
Molecule: ribosomal RNA, 593 nt
Filed under: uncultured marine eukaryote
Lineage: Eukaryota
Description: SSU rRNA
Rfam family: Eukaryotic small subunit ribosomal RNA
Source: RNAcentral